UACGUAGGGGGCAAGCGUUGUCCGGAAUCAUUGGGCGUAAAGAGCUCGUAGGCGGCUAUUCAAGUCGAACGUGAAAUCUCGGAGCUCAACUCCGAAACUGCGUUCGAUACUGGGUAGCUAGAGUCUGGUAGGGGGAUCUGGAAUUCCUGGUGUAGCGGUGGAAUGCGCAGAUAUCAGGAGGAACACCGGUGGCGAAGGCGGGAUCCUGGGCCAGUACUGACGCUGAGGAGCGAAAGCGUGGGGAGCAAACAGG
Molecule: ribosomal RNA, 253 nt
Filed under: uncultured bacterium
Lineage: Bacteria
Description: partial 16S ribosomal RNA
Rfam family: Bacterial small subunit ribosomal RNA
Source: RNAcentral